AGAGAUUUGGGAGUGCUCGAAAGAGAACCUGCACACAGGUGCUGCAUGGCUGUCGUCAGCUCGUGUCGUGAGAUGUUGGGUUAAGUCCCGCAACCGAGCGCAACCCUUGCCAUUAGUUGCUACGAAAGGGCACUCUAAAUGGGACUGCCGGUGACAAACCGGAGGAAGGUGGGGAUGACGUCAAGUCCUCAUGGCCCUUAUAGGUGGGGCUACACACGUCAUACAAUGGCCGGUACAGAGGGUAGCCAACCCGCGAGGGGGAGCCAAUCCCACAAAGCCGGUCGUAGUCCGGAUCGCAGUCUGCAACUCGACUGCGUGAAGUCGGAAUCGCUAGUAAUCGCGGAUCAGCAUGUCGCGGUGAAUACGUUCCCGGGUCUU
This 378-nucleotide ribosomal RNA is filed under the name uncultured Allobrachymonas sp. RNAcentral's name for it is "bacterial SSU rRNA". It matches the Rfam family "Bacterial small subunit ribosomal RNA", at positions 1002 to 1382 of the family's 1533-position model. Lineage: Bacteria; Pseudomonadati; Pseudomonadota; Betaproteobacteria; Burkholderiales; Comamonadaceae. The record is from RNAcentral.